Vicia villosa (hairy vetch) is the source of this 1328-nucleotide long non-coding RNA. RefSeq lists it as uncharacterized. The transcript is spliced from 4 exons. Lineage: Eukaryota; Viridiplantae; Streptophyta; Magnoliopsida; Fabales; Fabaceae. The record is from RefSeq and is a predicted model, not a curated record.
CCACCCUUCUCUGACCGGUACAACUCAAAACGGAAAAAGGAAACAUUUUUCUUUCUCUUCAUAUCUAUCUUUAUCUUCAAACUUUCUCUAAUUGCAUCCCUCUAUUCACUUUCUGAUUUGAAAAAAAUUAGGGUUUCAAAGAUAUGGAGCAGGAUCAUAGUUACAGGAUCAAAGUGUUGGAGCACGGGGAAGAAUCAAAGACACUUUCCAUCCUUACCAGCUGCUUUUCUUCAACAGACUCAACCCAUUUUAGGGUUUUUUAUUUCCCUUCUCAUUCUCUUUAUAUUUCUCUUUCUCUCCUCUAUCCUUCCCUUUACAUGCUUACUAACACAACAAGUUUUGGUUAAUAACAUAACAUGUUUUGUAUGUAACAGAUUUCUCCAUGAAGGCGGGCUUAAGGCUUUAAGGAUUGCAAUGGUUGAGAAAAGGAUUGCAAUGUCUACGCUAAUGACGGUCUGCACAUUCAUAAAACAGAAGCAUGAUAGUAAGUAAAUAAACAUAUGAUUGCAAUUGUUACUGUGAUUGCUAUUUUAGAAGCAUUAUCUUGACUUUUCUUUUGCUCUCUUAGGUGAUUAACUUGCUCUAUUUGGCAUUUUUGAUUGCAGGGGGUUGUGGUGCUUAUGUAGUUUUAAUAUCUAAAUAUGAUCCUUUACAUGAUAGAGUCGACGAUUUUACCGCUAGCUCUUGUCUCACACUACUCUGUAGCAUACAUGGAUGUUCAAUAACAACAGGUGAAAGCAUUGGAAAUACCAAACGCAAAUUUAUUGUUUGAGAUAUAUUUUUUGAGAACCUGAUUGCUAUAGUGCUUCUAAAAUAUAUAAUGAAUCUGAUUGCUAUAGUGUUUCUACAAAUGUGAAUCUGAUUUGCAUGGCCAGUGGUCUUUGAGUUUCAAAUGAUGCUGGAUUCUCAGGCAGUCCUUUGUUUGUUCCUAGCUUUGUCAUCAAGAACAUAAUUGUUGGAUUCUUAAGCUAUAAGUCACUAACAAGACAAUAUUUACAUUACCCAGAUGUCAUUGGGGUUCUCUGUGAUGUCGUCAAGACACAAACUGCAGGAAACGUUUUUCAACUCAGGUGUUGAUGUCUUCUUCAACUCAGCAUGCAAUAUCAAAACCUGGUAUUCAUGAAAUCCACAUUGAAGUUACCAUCUUAUUGCUGGGACUUUUCCACAUAGAAGUUUAUUCUGAAUUCCAACUUAUCAGUUGUAAAUAAUUGAACACACAUUAACUUUUAAUUCAUUGCAUACCUCUCUGGUUUCAACUAAGUUCAUCUUAUGUCAAUUUACAAUGUUAAAACAACUAUAACAGCUUACAUUAGGUCUAACAUUGACAU